Molecule: transfer RNA, 96 nt
Filed under: unidentified plant
Lineage: Eukaryota; Viridiplantae; Streptophyta
Description: partial tRNA-His
Source: RNAcentral
UUGUUUGUAAUUUCUAAAAUUCCGUCCCUUUUUUUUUAUAUUUAAUAUAUAAAUAUAAAAAAUAUAUUUAUAUAUUAAGGGGCGGAUGUAGCCAAG